Molecule: ribosomal RNA, 253 nt
Filed under: uncultured bacterium
Lineage: Bacteria
Description: partial 16S ribosomal RNA
Rfam family: Bacterial small subunit ribosomal RNA
Source: RNAcentral
UACGUAGGUGGCAAGCGUUGUCCGGAUUUACUGGGUGUAAAGGGCGUGCAGCCGGAGAGACAAGUCAGAUGUGAAAUCCACGGGCUCAACUCGUGAACUGCAUUUGAAACUGUUUCCCUUGAGUGUCGGAGAGGUAAUCGGAAUUCCUUGUGUAGCGGUGAAAUGCGUAGAUAUAAGGAAGAACACCAGUGGCAAAGGCGGAUUACUGGACGAUAACUGACGGUGAGGCGCGAAAGCGUGGGGAGCAAACAGG